UCGGUUUGGAAAACAGACCUUAUGAAAGCAGUUUUAGUAAAGCAGUCCUCAGUUCAGGUGUUAUCCUUAGAUAUCCCUUCUUCAUGAGCCUUCUCCUAAGUGCCAAAUAAGUAACUCUCUCAAUACAGGCCAUCAUCGCCGCACUAUGUGGCUCAUAAAUUAAGGAAUUAUCUAUGUCUAAUAAAAUGACUGGUUUAGUAAAAUGGUUCAACGCAGAUAAAGGUUUUGGCUUUAUCACUCCUGACAACGGCAGCAAAGAUGUAUUCGUGCAUUUCUCUGCAAUCCAGGGCGAUAACUUCAAAACUCUGGAUGAAGGUCAGAAAGUGUCCUUCACCAUUGAAAAUGGCGCUAAAGGCCCUGCGGCCGGUAACGUCACUGCACUGUAACAGGUGCUCAUUAUC
RNAcentral lists this small RNA (401 nucleotides) under Enterobacter mori. RNAcentral describes it as "cspA thermoregulator". It matches the Rfam family "cspA thermoregulator". The record is from RNAcentral. Lineage: Bacteria; Pseudomonadati; Pseudomonadota; Gammaproteobacteria; Enterobacterales; Enterobacteriaceae.